This is a long non-coding RNA of Myotis brandtii (Brandt's bat), 1549 nucleotides long. RefSeq lists it as uncharacterized. The record is from RefSeq and is a predicted model, not a curated record. The transcript is spliced from 3 exons. Lineage: Eukaryota; Metazoa; Chordata; Mammalia; Chiroptera; Vespertilionidae.
CGGGUGCAAGAAUUCAUGCUGACUACUUUGAAGGCACAUUCUGUGACUCCUCAACAUUUUGUCACCUGAGGAAACAAACCAGACCCUGAUCAGGACCAAAUGGCUGCUUCUCAGAUCCAUCUGGAAAGGCAGCCAUGUCUAACAUCCCUAUUGGGAUGGGGUCAGAGGCUCUAGUAUCUUGAAGAAGGGAAAUGUAGAUUUAUGUUCAAGUGGCUGCAGCAUCAGCUCUUGAUCAGGGAUAGUGCUGCGGAUCCCUCAGGUGGGACAUGUCCAUGGCGGCUUCCUGGUCAACUUCCUUCUUGGUUCUGUGGCCCUGCUCUUGCCUUCCGGGAUGACGGGUAACUUCAUUUCGAUUCUGGGCCGGGCAGAGGCGCUCCUGCUGGAGAAGGAGAGACGACAUUCCUGGCGGUGUACGCGGCGGCCACUGGUUGCUGCAGUUGCCAAAACAGGAGAAGCCCUUUCUGGCCUUUGGAGACUUCGUACCAUGUAGCACUAACGUGGGGCCGCCAUCGUAGAAGUCGGGCACUUGGCCGUCUGUGUGGGAAUGACGGACAGAGCGGGGACAUGGAGGCCCCCGAGGCGACCCAGAGGCCGGCUCGCGGCCUGGCCGCUCAGCGACUCCCAUCAAAGGAAGUUCCCCUUCAUGUCCCGCACCAGCGGCGCCGAGGGCCGGCACUGGAGGCCGCACCGCCCGCCACCGCGCAGGGCGUGGCCCACAGGACCGGGACGCUAGCGGGCGACGGUCGAGGACAUGGCGACAGCCGUUCCUCAGGGGAGCAUUUCUUUACCCGAAAAAGACACUUUGGGAGCUCAGCCCCGCCUAGUCGGCUUCCCGGGCAGGUUCAGGUUUAUUUUGUCGCGGCUACUGCGCAUGCUCAGCCUCUUGGCCUCGCCCCUGCCCUAAAGCUCCCCUCAGGCCACGCCCCUGCUGUUUUUUUUUUUUUUUUUUUUUGCUGCAAACCAAGCGGAAGCCAGACUGAGGACCGGUCCCGCCUCUGCAACGAUUUCCGUCGGCUGUCUCCCGGGCCUGCGCAUGCGUGGCUCCUCACUAGGCCCCUUACUGAACAUGCAGGCCAGUUCCAUCGCAGAUUUUUUUUUUCACCCGCAGGUGGUAGCAGCGCAAGCGCGGCCUCUCCAAAGCCCCGCCCCUCGCGCGAGCCCCGCCCCCGGGACGCCGCUUACCCUCCGCCGCCAUCUUGUAGGAGCUCGGAAGGUAGGAGAGACGUCCCAGGUCACACUGCGGAGCGUGAGUUCGUCUUUCUAGUUUCUUGACCGUCCCCUCCUCUCCGCAAGCCCUAGGGGUCGCCCUGCACCUUGACGUCCCCGCAGGCGCCCCCGUCCUCCGUGUAAAUGUAGGCGGCGUCCUCCUCAGGCCCGGGCACUUCCCUUGGCAUUUAAAAUGGCGCCUAGCCCUAACCGGUGUGGUUUCGGCUCCUCAGGUUUGUUUCCCCGGGUGUCGCCUGACACCGGAAGGGGAGUGUUGGCUCUGCAAAGGUUCCUACCGCUGGUGGGUGUGUGUGUGUCCACGCGAGCACAAGAUUUGAAGAAA